This is a long non-coding RNA of Tachysurus fulvidraco (yellow catfish), 248 nucleotides long. RefSeq lists it as uncharacterized. The transcript is spliced from 3 exons. The record is from RefSeq and is a predicted model, not a curated record. NCBI's taxonomy places the organism in Eukaryota, Metazoa, Chordata, Actinopteri, Siluriformes, Bagridae.
GUGAUCAUCCUGACCUUUACUGGAGCUAUACCAUCAGUAGCAUCUUUAACUUUUAAGUUAAAAUUUUCAAGGAGUACAUCAACAGAGCCUGCUAUAUGUUUGGCAACAUUGAUAUAUAACCAAUUGUAAAGAUGGAAUUCCUCCUCAGCUGGACUGCAAAAGCAUCCAACUAGAACUGACAAAAGUAAAGAAAUACACCAUAAGGAAAGAGAUGACCCUGAGAAAACUUUUCUGAAAAGUCCCAAAUU